This 748-nucleotide ribosomal RNA is filed under the name uncultured bacterium. RNAcentral's name for it is "bacterial SSU rRNA". It matches the Rfam family "Bacterial small subunit ribosomal RNA", at positions 595 to 1341 of the family's 1533-position model. The record is from RNAcentral.
UGAAAGUCCGGGGCUUAACUCCGGAUCUGCGGUGGGUACGGGCAGACUUGAGUGAUGUAGGGGAGACUGGAAUUCCUGGUGUAGCGGUGAAAUGCGCAGAUAUCAGGAGGAACACCGAUGGCGAAGGCAGGUCUCUGGGCAUAAACUGACGCUGAGGAGCGAAAGCAUGGGGAGCGAACAGGAUUAGAUACCCUGGUAGUCCAUGCCGUAAACGUUGGGCACUAGGUGUGGGGGACAUUCCACGUUUUCCGCGCCGUAGCUAACGCAUUAAGUGCCCCGCCUGGGGAGUACGGCCGCAAGGCUAAAACUCAAAGGAAUUGACGGGGGCCCGCACAAGCGGCGGAGCAUGCGGAUUAAUUCGAUGCAACGCGAAGAACCUUACCAAGGCUUGACAUGAACCGGAACGGCGCAGAGAUGUGUCGGCCACUUGUGGCCGGUUUACAGGUGGUGCAUGGUUGUCGUCAGCUCGUGUCGUGAGAUGUUGGGUUAAGUCCCGCAACGAGCGCAACCCUCGUUCCAUGUUGCCAGCGGGUUAUGCCGGGGACUCAUGGGAGACUGCCGGGGUCAACUCGGAGGAAGGUGGGGACGACGUCAAAUCAUCAUGCCCCUUAUGUCUUGGGCUUCACGCAUGCUACAAUGGCCGGUACAAAGGGUUGCGAUGCUGUGAGGUGGAGCUAAUCCCAAAAAGCCGGUCUCAGUUCGGAUUGAGGUCUGCAACUCGACCUCAUGAAGUCGGAGUCGCUAGUAA